GGUUUGUGGUUCAGUGGCAGAGCACUUGCCUGGCAUGCAUGCAUGAGGCAGUGGGUUCCAUCCCCAGCACCA
This 72-nucleotide transfer RNA is filed under the name Marmota monax (woodchuck). RNAcentral describes it as "tRNA.Ala". The record is from RNAcentral. Lineage: Eukaryota; Metazoa; Chordata; Mammalia; Rodentia; Sciuridae.